RNAcentral lists this ribosomal RNA (533 nucleotides) under uncultured bacterium. RNAcentral's name for it is "bacterial SSU rRNA". It matches the Rfam family "Bacterial small subunit ribosomal RNA", at positions 977 to 1509 of the family's 1533-position model. The record is from RNAcentral.
GGCCUUGACAUACUAAGAACUUUCCAGAGAUGGAUUGGUGCCUUCGGGAACUUAGAUACAGGUGCUGCAUGGCUGUCGUCAGCUCGUGUCGUGAGAUGUUGGGUUAAGUCCCGNAACGAGCGCAACCCUUUUCCUUAUUUGCCAGCGGGUCAUGCCGGGAACUUUAAGGAUACUGCCAGUGACAAACUGGAGGAAGGCGGGGACGACGUCAAGUCAUCAUGGCCCUUACGGCCAGGGCUACACACGUGCUACAAUGGUCGGUACAAAGGGUUGCUACCUCGCGAGAGGAUGCUAAUCUCAAAAAGCCGAUCGUAGUCCGGAUCGCAGUCUGCAACUCGACUGCGUGAAGUCGGAAUCACUAGUAAUCGCGGAUCAGAAUGCCGCGGUGAAUACGUUCCCGGGCCUUGUACACACCGCCCGUCACACCAUGGGAGUUUGUUGCACCAGAAGUAGGUAGUCUAACCGCAAGGAGGACGCUUACCACGGUGUGGCCGAUGACUGGGGUGAAGUCGUAACAAGGUAGGCGUAGAUGA